Molecule: ribosomal RNA, 475 nt
Filed under: uncultured bacterium
Lineage: Bacteria
Description: bacterial SSU rRNA
Rfam family: Bacterial small subunit ribosomal RNA
Source: RNAcentral
AGAGUUUGAUCCUGGCUCAGGAUGAACGCUGGCGGCGUGCCUAACACAUGCAAGUCGUACGAGCUCGAUCUUCGGAACGGGUUAGUGGCGCACGGGUGAGUAACACGUAGGUGAUCUACCCCAGAGUGGGGGAUAACUUCUCGAAAGAGAGGCUAAUACCGCAUACACUCGGUCAUUCAUUUGGCCGAGCAAAGCUCCGGCGCUUUGGGACGGGCCUGCGUCCGAUUAGCUAGUUGGUAGGGUAAUGGCUUACCAAGGCUUUGAUCGGUAGCUGGUCUGAGAGGACGAUCAGCCACACUGGCACUGACACACGGGCCAGACUCCUACGGGAGGCAGCAGUGAGGAAUAUUGGGCAAUGGGCGAAAGCCUGACCCAGCAACGCCGCGUGAGGGAUGAAGGCCUUCGGGUUGUAAACCUCUUUCUGGGAGAAGAGACAAGGACGGUAUCCCAGGAAUAAGUCUCGGCUAACUACGUG